RNAcentral lists this ribosomal RNA (465 nucleotides) under Vreelandella stevensii. RNAcentral describes it as "partial 16S ribosomal RNA". It matches the Rfam family "Bacterial small subunit ribosomal RNA", at positions 338 to 795 of the family's 1533-position model. Lineage: Bacteria; Pseudomonadati; Pseudomonadota; Gammaproteobacteria; Oceanospirillales; Halomonadaceae. The record is from RNAcentral.
CCUACGGGAGGCUGCAGUGGGGAAUAUUGGACAAUGGGGGGAACCCUGAUCCAGCCAUGCCGCGUGUGUGAAGAAGGCCCUCGGGUUGUAAAGCACUUUCAGUGAGGAAGAACGCCUGGUGGUUAAUACCCAUCAGGAAAGACAUCACUCACAGAAGAAGCACCGGCUAACUCCGUGCCAGCAGCCGCGGUAAUACGGAGGGUGCGAGCGUUAAUCGGAAUUACUGGGCGUAAAGCGCGCGUAGGUGGCUUGAUAAGCCGGUUGUGAAAGCCCCGGGCUCAACCUGGGAACGGCAUCCGGAACUGUCAAGCUAGAGUGCAGGAGAGGAAGGUAGAAUUCCCGGUGUAGCGGUGAAAUGCGUAGAGAUCGGGAGGGAUACCAGUGGCGAAGGCGGCCUUCUGGACUGACACUGACACUGAGGUGCGAAAGCGUGGGUAGCAAACAGGAUUAGAUACCCUUGUAGUC